This is a long non-coding RNA of Oncorhynchus nerka (sockeye salmon), 575 nucleotides long. RefSeq lists it as uncharacterized. The record is from RefSeq and is a predicted model, not a curated record. Lineage: Eukaryota; Metazoa; Chordata; Actinopteri; Salmoniformes; Salmonidae. The transcript has 3 exons.
GUGGCUGGUAAAAACACUUUUGAACUUUUUAAUGUACUGUAUUCCCCCUGCCCUGCUCCUCUUAGACAACAGCAUGGCUCAGUGCUGCCCCCUCUGUCCUGGAGGAAUGUGGGCAGACUGUCUUUGACCCUGAACAACUGAAGACAGUGUUGCAGCACCAUCAGCAUCAUGUAAACCUGAACAAUAGUCAUGUCUCUAAUUACACCACAGAUACCAUCCUGUCCACACUGUCCCUCCCUCCAAUAAUCAGAGUUAUUAUUAACUACGAACCAGACAACUCUGACAAUGUGAGGCCAUUCUCAGAUGACGAUGAAGACCACAAUGAAAUCCUGGAUGAAGGCACUGAUAGAUGUUUGGAGGAUCUAGGACUGUCAACAUCACAGGAACAGGAAGAAUUGAACUUGGAUCAUUCUCUCAACGUAAUGGUGAAUGCUGACGAGCCAUGCCAGGUUCUUACCUGCACUCUGCCUCCAUUCUCUCACAGUGAAAUGGCCAACCUCUGCAAGGACAAUACCGACCAAGUAGAAAAGGAUAGAAAGCAGGUUGACAAGAAAGAAGAAGUGGUCAGAAAAGGG